Long non-coding RNA from Hemicordylus capensis (graceful crag lizard), 3473 nucleotides. RefSeq lists it as uncharacterized. The transcript is spliced from 3 exons. The record is from RefSeq and is a predicted model, not a curated record. Lineage: Eukaryota; Metazoa; Chordata; Lepidosauria; Squamata; Cordylidae.
GGGGGGGGGGGCGGCGGCGGAUUUGCUCGGUUGUGAAGCCUUCACCUAAAAAUAUCUCCGUGGCUCCUCUGUGAUCUCCUUAACAACACCAGCCGUGCUUUGAGUCAAUCAACGGUAAUAGAGCAGCACAGUAGACUCGGUCAAUUCCUUGGACACGCUCCAGCCUUGGUGACUCCCGUAGCCGUCCCAGUCGAAGCCAGUGAAGUCGCCACACUGCCGAGGGCUGGCUUCUGCAAAGUAGCCGCCUCCGCCAAUGCAGUGCUAGGCAAAGGAAGCAAGAAGGGGGAGAAGACGAUGAGCACGCCAUCCAACCAAGAUCAGGCCGUUGAAGCAGUAGAGCAAUCAGCAAGGGCUUGAGAAAGCUGCUUCUGCAAAGGGAACCAUCUGGGGGAGUGCCAGGCCCGGUCCAGAGGAUGAGCCACGCUGCCACUGCUGCUGCCACCGCUGCCACCCUCCUCAGAUUACAGGUGCCCUCUCGCCCACGGCUAUUAGGAUUUUUAUUUUGGUAGGCACGGUCCCCUCCUUGCUUGUAAAGGGGAAUCCUCACUGGAUUCUCCUUUACAAACAUACCCCUGAACUGCCGAAUCGAUUCUGAACCGGUUUGUUAGAAAUGGGGCCGGUUCGGCUCGAAUCUGGACUGGCACCAAAACCGAACCAGCCGAGCCGGGACGGUUCUGUUCAAACAAAGUUUGUUCUGUUUUGUUCUGCUUUUUGUUCUACUAGGGUUUUGCACACCCCUAGUACUGGUGUGGUGGGGAGGAGUCCAGGGGUCUUGAACGGAGGCUCCCAGCAGUUAACCUCUGGCCCCAGUGCUCUGGGUUCUCUGGCAAGCCUGCAGACCAAGCUGAGUGGCGCCAUCUAGGCUGCAGUACCAGCAUGGUCAGCUGACCCCCAUGAGCCAAUCCCUGCUCAUCCAACCCUAUAAAGGAACCUUGGAACUCGCUCCUCGGUCUCUUGGUAACUCAUCUCUUGUAUGCAGAGGUUACUGCCUGUGCUGUUGCUCUUAUUUUAUUUUAUUUUGCCAAUUGCUGCCUUGGAUCUGGACUUCUGUCUAGCUUGGGUGGUGCACCUGCCUCUGGUGCUUAUUUCCAGUUCUGGAACCCAACUCCUGCCUGUUCUGGACCACAUGAUCUCAUCUAUGGGCCAGGCUCACAUAUUCUGGCCAUAGGUACCAUCUCCGGGGAUGAAUGCUCAUUGUGAUUUUGGGCAGCAUGUACCCCAGAGAUAGAAAAUAGGUGACUGUGUUUGUUGUACUUAAAGCUUUCUGUGGGUUCUCACCCCUUCUUCAACCCUGCCCCCAAACAAAUAGGGUAAAAUGGCAGUCACUUUUGCACAGAGAAAAGGGUUGAGGUCAGGGUUAGGGGAACAAGGAACAAAUCGUUGCAUACUCUCUGCAUGGAGUAAUCCUUGGAGGACAUUCCUGCCAAUAUUCAUCUCCAUUCUGCUGACAAAAUCGCUAAAAUGUUAUAGUUGUGUUUGUAUUUUGAAAACUUCUAAACGCUUUGAAAAGAAAGACCUUUGCAAAUGUGGCUGCUUGAGGUCCAACGCUCAGGACCAUGAAAGCCUGAGAACACCCUGAAAGCUGGAAUUCUUGCUAUGCUCUCACCUCUUUCCCAUCUCUCAGGGUACAGACCUUGUCAAAAAUCACCUUGAGCAUUCAUCUCCCCAGCUGGACCACUCUGUCUGGCUCAUGCAUUUAUCCUGUUUCUGGUCCACUUGGGGAGACACACACACAGAGCCGGUUUAUUCUGGGUCCUGCCUGGAACCUGCAGCCUGUAGUUCUGACAUCCUUGCUGAGUUCUGACAUCCACCACUUGAUGGGUGUGGUGGCAACCUGUGUGUUUGAAGGUAAUUUGAAUAGGUAGUCCUGCCCUGAGAAUCCAGGGGGUUUCCUCCAAGUUUCAAACACUGUGUGGUGGUGUUUAACAAAAGAAUUUUUUAAAAGACCAAUCUACUCUCCCACCCCAAACCAGAUGACAUCACCCGCACAUCCGCGCACAAACUUACUACACGUUUCCCCAGCUGCGAGAAGAGCCAAGAAUAGAAGCAGAAGGUAAAGUUGCUUCAUUGUUGUUGUUUUUCCUGUGGGGUGGAGGGGUGGGGGAAGAAUAUCAGAGUUUCAGCUUCUUGUAAGUGGGGUGAUGGAGGACCCUUAAGAGCAUUGGGCACCAUAAAUAAGCUUUCAUUAAACUGACCAGGAAUGUAGCAACUGAAUUUAUUCUUUUAAAUCAGUCAACAUCAUCCUUUCCAUAGGACAUAGGAAGAAACAUAGGAAGCUGUCAUAUACUGAGUCAGAUAAUUGAUCCAUCUAGCUCAGUAUUGUCUACACAGACUGGCAGCGGCUUCUCCAAGGUUGCAGGCAGGAAUCUCUCUCCGCCCUCUCUUGGAGAUGCUGCCAGGGAGGGAACUUGGAACCUUCUGCUCUUCCCAGAGUGGCUCCAUCCCCUGAGGGGAAGAUCUUACAGUGCUUAUACUUCUAGUCUCCCAUCCAAAUGCAAACCAGGGUGGAUCCUGCUUAGCAAAGGAGACAAUUCAUGCUUGUUUACAAUUAGGAUGGAACAACUUCUUUAGCAACUGGUACUCAGAGGAUCUCACGGCUAGUAGCUUGCAACAGACUUCUACCUUUAUUUGAGCUAUUGUACUAGUUGAUGGCGCAGCGGGAAAUGACUUGACUAGCAAGCCAGAGGUUGCUGGUUUGAACCCCCGUUGCUGUAUAUUGCUGCUGCCUGAUAUAGGUGCUUAUCUGGCAGCAGCGAUCUAGGAAGGUACUGAAAGGCAUCAUCUCAUACUGCGCGGGAGGAGGCAAUGGUCAACCCCUCCUGUAUUCUACCAAACCACACCACAGGGCUCUGUGGUCGCCAGGAGUCAACCACUGACUCGACGGCACACUUUACCUUUACUAGUUGAACUAGGAAGUAUAGACUGAGGAGGUCUCUGAAUGUGGCGUUCUGGUAAUGCCUGGAUAGCAAUAGUGCCACUUUUACUUUGGUUAAACAUACAGCUGAAUUCUAAGCCUAGUUGUAAAACUGUCUCCUUCAGUUCUAUGCAUAGUGACUGGAGAGAGAGUCAGCCCCAAUGGAUUUGGGCAUCAUCCAAAGAGUGUUAGGCCAGGAAGACCUGGGUUCAAAUUCUGCACUCAGCCAUGACACUGCUGCCUGGGGGACUUUGGUCCAGAGUCACCAACGCUCAACACCCCCUAUCUCAGAUGACUGCUCUGAGGGUAAGAAGAGCUUUGCUGGAUCAGGCCCAAGGAGGCCUAUCUAGACCAGCCUCCUGUUUCCCACAGUGGCCCACCAGAUGCCCUUGGGAAGACCCACAGGUAAGAGGUGAGGGCAUGCCUUCUCUCCUGCUGUUGCUCCCCUGCAACUGGCAUUUAGAGGCAUCGUGCCUCUGAGGCUGGAGGUGGCCUAUAGCUAAGCUACUGCACUAGUAGCCAUGGAUAGACCUGUCCUCCAUGAAUUUGUCCAAACCUC